Molecule: microRNA precursor, 75 nt
Organism: Anolis carolinensis (green anole)
Lineage: Eukaryota; Metazoa; Chordata; Lepidosauria; Squamata; Anolidae
Rfam family: mir-192/215 microRNA precursor family
About the family: This family represents the human microRNA (miRNA) precursors mir-192 and mir-215.
Source: Rfam
UUAGGGUAAUGACCUAUGAUUUGACAGACUGUGCUUUCUAUGUCUGCCUGUCAUUUCUGUAGGCCAAUACUCUGU